This 252-nucleotide ribosomal RNA is filed under the name uncultured bacterium. RNAcentral's name for it is "partial 16S ribosomal RNA". It matches the Rfam family "Bacterial small subunit ribosomal RNA", at positions 524 to 776 of the family's 1533-position model. The record is from RNAcentral.
UACAGAGGGUGCGAGCGUUUGUCCGGAGUUACUGGGCGUAAAGCGCACGCAGGCGGUCUCUUAAGUUUGGAGUGACAGUUGGUGGCUUAACUGCCAAAGUGCUUCGAAAACUGAGAGACUUGAGGGCUUCAGAGGGACACGGAAUUCCGGGUGGAGUGGUGAAAUGCGUAGAGAUCCGGAGGAACACCAAAGGCGAAGGCAGUGUCCUGGGGAGUACCUGACGCUCAGGUGCGAAGCCAGGGAGCGAACGGG